AGAAUAGUUCAUGCGUAAAUGCACGGACACGACUGGAAACUCCAUUUUUCAAUCUUUCAAGAACCAUAACUCCUGAACGGUAAAAGUCAAAAUCGUCAUUAUUGAACUUGACCUUCAUUUAGUUGUCAGUAACAACAUAUUAAAAUUUUAAAAGCUUUGGUUGAACGGUUCAUGAGUUAAUGCACGGACAACAUUUGAUUGCCGCCCGAAUGCCCGCCCGCCCGCCGUACAUCCCC
This 236-nucleotide long non-coding RNA is filed under the name Mytilus galloprovincialis (Mediterranean mussel). Lineage: Eukaryota; Metazoa; Mollusca; Bivalvia; Mytilida; Mytilidae. The record is from RNAcentral.